RNAcentral lists this ribosomal RNA (426 nucleotides) under Triticum aestivum (bread wheat). RNAcentral's name for it is "partial small subunit ribosomal RNA". Lineage: Eukaryota; Viridiplantae; Streptophyta; Magnoliopsida; Poales; Poaceae. The record is from RNAcentral.
AUGGAUGGCCGACUCUGCCAGGCCAGGACUCCCUCGCUGCCGCAGGACCUCCCCGACCCGCCUUCUCCUGCGAGCUCCCAAGGCACCAGCCUCCCCUCCGCGAGAUCCGGCGAUGCCGGCCACCAGGACCAGCUGCUGCUCUGGCCGCAACCACCUCCGGUCUUCAACCCCGACGCCCGCCAUGGCCCUCCUCGGGCUGCUGCUCCUUGGAGUCGCCCUUGUCAGCAACCAGCACGACCUCGAGGCCGCCCUCUCUUUUCCCCUGCACAGGAGCUCGCAGCUACCACCAUCGCCUCCUUGUUGUUGACAUCCCGAGGCCCCUUGUGUUGUUUUGUGUUGGACGGCAAGACCGGCAAGGUCGACUACAGGGACACCAAGUACCACGACACUGAAGACCCGAACUCCAUCAAAACCAGUACUCGGUGA